GGUAACACACACAGGAAGUUCCUAUUCUACAACAACAAACCGAUGUGUUAAUUUCUGAUGUGAAACAAACUAAAGUGUGUGAAAAUGGACGAGGAAUAAACGAGGACCUGAGACAUAGGACCAUGCCUUAGGACUACCUGACCUGAUGACUCCUUGCUGUCCCCAGUCCACCUGGUCGUGCUGCUGCUCCAGUUUGAACUGUUCUGCCUGUGGCUAUGGAACCCUGACCUGUUCACCGGACGUGCUACCUGUCCCAGACCUGCUGUUUUCAACUCUCUAGAGACCCCAAGAGCGGUAGAGAUACUCUGAAUGAUCGGCUAUGAAAAGCCAACUGACAUUUACUCCUGAGGUGCUGACCGGCACCCUCUACAACCACUGUGAUUAUUAUUAUUUGACCCUACUGGUCAUUUAUGAACAUUUGAACAUCUUGGCCAUGUUCUGUUAUAAUCUCCACUCAGCACAGCCAGAAGAGGACUGGCCACCCCUCAGCCUGGUUCCUCUCUAGGUUUCUUCCUAGGUUCUGGCCUUUUUAGGGAGUUUUUCUUAGCCACCGUGCUUCUACAUCUGCAUUGCUUGCUGUUUGGGGUUUUAGGCUGGGUUUUUGUACAGCACUUUGUGACAUCAGCUGAUGUAAGAAGGGCUUUAUAAAUUAAUGUGAUUGAUUGAAACUCUUUUCUUUUGGGGGAACUAUCAUUUUCAAAUGUGUUCUAUUUUAGUCCAUGAUAUUGUUACAAAAUAGAUGUGUUGACUGAUUAGGGUAUGGGAAUAUAAGAGCAUCUGCUAGGCUAAAUUAAACUAGGCAUGCACAGCGCACCACAUGAUCCUCAAACCAAAGACUGGCCAAACUCGUGCUUCUAAAAGUGAAUUCAAUAAGGUGUUCCCCACACAAGGGCUUUCUUACAGACAGAAAUACCCUCCCCCCUCAUCAGAUUUGGAGGUCCUGGGCUACAUUUUUUGUAGGUAUGGGAUCUUUUAUUUCAACUCAAGAAAAAUGGGACCAGUGUUUUAUUUUUGUUCAGUGUAGCAUUAUAGAUCGCUUUAUAUAAUUAGGUCUAUUUUAAUUUAUUUUGAAAUCUUAAAUUAUCAAGAUGUAGGCCUAUGCUUUUAGUCAUUUUCUUCAACUAAAGCCACAGCACCCUCACAUAACUCCUCAAUUCAAGACCUGUUUUGACCUUAACACAGCAAGCUCUUCACUUACACAGAUAUUUAAGGAGUGCAUGGUCACUGAAGUGAUUGGCUGACAAUCUAUGGAUGGUAGACUAUAAAUUCAUCUGUCAAACAGGUAGGCCUACCUGUUAUUUCUUGAAUAUGAAUAGGUUCUUCAACAAAGCACUCUUGUUAGUAUUCUAAAGUCAAAUUAAAAUGAAGACUUUAAAUUAAUUAGGUCUUCUUAUAUUUACCUACUACCCAUGCGCUGCACAACUCCGCGGCUGCAAAGUAAUGUAUGUAAAUUACUCAGGGCUUUUUGAGGUCAAUAACUCUGAUAAAUAGCUUCAUUAUGGGCAACUAAACCAAUGUUUAUAUUAAAAUUAAUUAUAACGAGGUCAUCCUCUUCACGCUCUCCCUUUCAAACGGAACAGGACAUCAGUAGGUCUAGUCCGCGUGAACAGAUAUUGCAUUUUUUUAAAUACAUAUAUUGACUGGCCUCCUGAAGUGCCACCGUACACAGCACAGUCAUUGGUUAGGCAGCCGCAGCACAAAGGGGUUUACUUCAGCAAGAGCAUUGCAGGACGGGCCUCUUGAUUGGGAACGCCUAUCCAUUGCAGUGUGUAAUGCAGUGUAGCCUAGUUUUAUAUUCACCAUCUCAGCAGCGCAAAAACUUGGGAUGGAAGUUCAUUAUUUUAGGAACAUAGCUUUGCCCUGUGCUCUUCGUGUAGCCUAGGCCUAUAGUAUAGACCAGCCUUUCUCAAACUAUUUUGUGCCAGGGAGACCCCAGAGGGUUUUUAAUAUUUGUAUUUUGUUGCAGCAAGAGAGAAGCUGGUCUCACAUAAGUAGGUAGAAUGAAAGGGGAUUCACUUCAACUCUGCCAUAUCGCGUUUGCUGCUGAACAGUCAGAAUGUGAACAGGCGCAUCUCAUUAAAACGAGAGCGCAGGCCUUGGUCACAGGACAGCUCCAAUAGUUUAUCAUCAAUAACUGAUGACAAGCUGUGAGUCUCUUCAGUGCUGGUGAACGGAUUACGUAUCCACUGCUUUCUCAGGUGUGGAUCAGAUUGAGAGGAGAAGUAAUCUUCGAAUUUGAGCAGAGUUUUGCUCAGAUGUGACCCCAACAAUUUAUGUAUGUGAUCCAUGUCUACAUAACCCACGUCAGUCUCAGAGUUUAGAAUAGAGGGGACAUAUCGAAAAAUGCCCCUAUCCACUCGGUCUCUCCAGACACCCAGUUUUUUCUUGAAAUCGGCAAUUCUAUCGUUUGCUUGGAAAAUUUCACUUUAGCGUCCCUGCAUGGCUAGGUUGAGCAGCAGUCUUGUCUAUAGGCCUGCAGUUCCCGAUACAACGGUCCCAUCGUAAUCCAUGUCCGUAUGUACUCGUUCAGGACACGCAGUUGUAUUCUGAGGCAACUCUUUGCCAGGUAAUUUUCAUAUGUGGCAAAUACAUACAAGAAGCGGAAUUUGAAAUGUCAGUCUUCUUGUGAACUACAAUUCUGACGCUGUGUUUUAACGUUUAUAAACAUCCAAUAAUCGUCAGUGAUGAGUGACUAUGACUGCCAGUAAAACAGACGGGGAUGGAACUGGGCCAGUGGAGCAGGCUCUGUCUCAGGUACAGUAAACCAAACACACACACACUGAACAGCCAAUCCCAGCACACUAGUCAUUAUCUCUGAGUGUACAUUGCAUCUGUGUGGUGCAUUUGUGCAUGUUUUUCAUGUGCUCACGUGAGUGUUUUCCUGUGUGUGUGUGUGUGUGUUCCACAGGACACAUCAGUGAUGACAGUGUCUCAGUGUGUUCUGGCUCUGUGGAUGCUGUUUCCUACCUGACCCCGGAGCAGGGGCUGAUGAGCAUGCCCAAGACCAUGGUAAUGUGCCACCUGGCCCUGGCAGACCUGCUCAGGGUGUUGCGGAGCAGCUACAGAUGAGUUUCCAGUAGCUGUUUGGUUCCCCUGCGGCCCUACAUCCUCCGGGCCCAGCCUGCACCACCAAACCGUGGAGAGCAGCCCUCCAACCUAAAAUACUGGCACCCAGCCCUGAGGGCCUGCAAGCCCAGGUUCUGUAAGAACCACUAUGCGGAGAUGGAGGCCACUCUCCUCAGGGUGUACGAAUGGCUACUGGACCGGUUCUCCUUCUUCCUGGGGGUGAAACCUGACUAUGUGUAUGAAGAAGUACUGAAGGUGGAGAGGCAUUUCCUCAGGAGCAGCAAGCCCUGGGCUAGAGCUUUAACUACGCCCACAAAGACACAGCCCAGAAAACAGCCCAACGGCAAACAAACCAGAAAAACAACUUUGUUCUCUAGGCAGCUAAAGAGAGUAACUUCAUCGGGACCAACUACUGUGGAUUGUUACUGUGCCAUAAUGCCAUGCUGACGGAUUACUUUCGUUUUUGUCUCGAUGUAACAUGAUUGAGUGUUUGCCUUUUUGUACAAAUUGCCUGUGGAUUACAAUGUGAUUACGAUGCGAAAUGAUGUUUAUGAACAUGCUGUACUUUCAGUUAUAUUAAACUAUAUUUUCUGUUA
Long non-coding RNA from Oncorhynchus nerka (sockeye salmon), 3662 nucleotides. RefSeq lists it as uncharacterized. Lineage: Eukaryota; Metazoa; Chordata; Actinopteri; Salmoniformes; Salmonidae. The transcript is spliced from 4 exons. The record is from RefSeq and is a predicted model, not a curated record.